Molecule: long non-coding RNA, 10896 nt
Organism: Limulus polyphemus (Atlantic horseshoe crab)
Lineage: Eukaryota; Metazoa; Arthropoda; Merostomata; Xiphosura; Limulidae
Exons: 2
Source: RefSeq, a predicted model, not a curated record
CUGUUUUUUCUUUACAUUCAUCAAAUAUUCAGGGUUUCUCUUGUCAAUAAGAGCUAUCUUCUGUGUUACAAAUCUUGUUCUUUCUGAAGGUAAGGCAGUCUGUGAUGUACAUCAUUAUACUGUUAUGGUGAUUUGAUCUUUAAUAUAUUUGAGUUUUCUGUAAAUAGUUGCAUAUGAGCUGGCUUGAUGAUCAUCAUUUCUAGGAAAGAGAGCUAAUCUUUUUCUAUUUUGUUGUGAAAUAUAUCGUUGAUCAUUGUCUGUUCAGAUGGUUCAUGAAUUGUGGAAUCUUGUCAACAGAGAGAGACUAUAUUACAAAUGUAUUGGUAACAUAUCUGAGAUAUCCUGGUUCUUAGAGCAGAUGUUUUGAGGGUGUUAUCUUUGGAAUGUUUCAAGUAGAAGUCACUGAAUUAUGUUGAUGGGUGUCAUGUUAUAGCUAAGCCUUACAACAUGGGGAAAAGUAUUCUCUUUUAGAAAUAAUCCUAGCGUAAUGAGGACAAAAAAUUUGAGACAGUAGAAACUUAAAACACAGGAGGGUUUAAUCAGUAAAGAAACCAUCGAGCUAUGAUGUUUGUGUCCUAGUGUUCUAAAAUAUUGUUAGCUAGAAAAAAGUCAAAGGCUAGAGAUAAAACGCAUUGUUAAGUGUUUUUUCAGAAAACUGUAAAAAGAAUGUUUUUAUUAGAUUGCUAAUAUAAAAUGGUAACCUUUAAUGGUUGUCAGGUGUUUGGUAAGGAACAAUCUCAAAGUGAUUACCUUAAUUUUGAUAUGAUCACUCACCUUCAUACACAGAUUAUCUAUUUUCUUCUUGAAGUCAUACUUUACUGCUUGAGAGACUUGCAUGCGACCAGCCUUGUGAAACUUCCUCAUAAAAUGCACAUGAAAACACGAGAAGUUGUGCUACUCCAUGAUGAUGUAUCUUGUAGCAAAACACUCUAUCAAUAGGAAUGUGAUCCAUGUGUAAUUUUUUAAGUAUUUUACUUCAACUGCUUUGUGUUUUGAACCUUUCAAUAUGAAUUUCCAAAUUAAUGUGAAUUUGUUUUUUGCUGAAGUGAGUACAAAUAUAAGUCACAGUUACCAACAAUUUAGGAAGUUCUUUGUUUGUUGAGAUUGUGAAAGCCAUCACCAAACAUGUGGUGGGGGCCCAUGUUGCCACCUGGAACUCUUUCUUCUGUCCCUGCCAAACAUUUCCCUUCACAGAAUUAUGAAGCUAAAGUUGAAGAAGGGGAAAUGGAGCAAUUUUUUCCACCAAAUACUUCUCUAGCUAAUGUAUGUCUUUUGACUUUUCCCAUCCAUCUUAAAUAUACCUUCUACCUGUAGUUUAUUUUCUUCUCCUGACCAGUUAGUUCCACACCAGGUGUUUCCUUCAGGAUUAACUUCACUCCUACUGUUUUAUGCCUCAUCCUCCUGGCCUUAUCAGAUAACCCAUAGAAGUUGCUGUUCAGAUCUACUUUAUUCCUCCUUCACACACAUAGCUCAUAGGACUUAAAGUUUAGAAGUCAUUUAUUACUCAUUAACAUAUACCAAUUAGUAUAUUAUGUUUAGUCAUAGCUCAUCACUCCUUCAUGUAACACAUAGAUGUCGAUAUUUUAUUCUGGUUGAUUACUCCUUAACAUGUCCACAUAUAAGGUAAUGUCUGCUCUAGUUCAUUACUUCAUCACAUGCACACAUGGAAAUUUGUUUUUAUCAUGGCAGGGAUUCACUUGUUAUGGGAAAGGACCUUUCUCCAAUUGGGGUGUAUCCCUCUUUAUCCCACUUGCAUAAAUUAGUUUAUUUGACACAUGUGAAAGAUUAUUGUAGAUUGUUAUAAUAGAGUUGGAGUUAUGAGUAAGGCAAAAAUGGUUUUUGGUUGUGUUAUGCAGUUUGUCAUAUGGCAGAGUUGAGGCAGUGGCUAAAUUGAGGUAAUCAGUGGACAGAAGUAAAGUGACAAUGUUCGACAAACCAUGCAGAAGGAAACAUCCCAUAGCCAGGGUCGCAAAGUGGCUGGGAUCUAUAAAUCCAAUGCUGGAAAAAAAAAACUUCUAUAGGGCAGGUUCUGAAAAAUCUAUCUGUUCUAUACCCAGGCUGAAAAGAAACACAUAAAUAAAGUUAAACAUAUCAGUAUGUGCAUUAUGUGUGUGCAGUUGCAAAGUGUUGUGAUGUAAUAUCUAUGUUGAUUUAGAGAUUAGAUAUUUGUUGUAUGGGAAGAUUGUUUUGAGUGCCUGACUUAGUGUGUAGAGAUGCUAUUAGAGUAGUGGUUUUCAACCUUUUCUUGGUCAAGGAAUCCAGCAAGUAGCAGGUAAUAUUUUCUGGAACCCCAUCUUCUCUAUCCAUUAUUUCCUCUUCUUUUAUAAACAAACUUAUGAUAAAUGAAGAAGAAAAAACAAAUUAGUAAUAAGUAAUUUAUAUAACAGCUACACAAUUCAAUUACAAAUUAGUAAUAAGAAAAAAAAAUAUCCAUCAUUACUUUCACUUACAAAAUACCGUGAAAUUCUAUAUUUUGAUUUUAAUUCCAAAUAAAAAAUGUUUACAAAAAAGAAGAUAAAGAUAACUUAAACAUUUGUAGAGAAAAAUAGCUUUUUAGUGUGAAAUUUGAGAUUGAUUUCUUGGCCAAAUCAUUGACAGGCACACUCAAAGUUCUUCUUCGAUUGAUAAAAGUUGUUCUUUUUUUUUUUGACUUUCCAUAUUAGUAAGAGCAUAAGAUCAAAAUUCACAAAGAUAAGUAGUUGAAAAUUGGAGCAGAAUUGUCACUGCCUUCUUUCUGAUGUUGGGAUAUUCAUUUUCAACUCCAAUCCAAAAUGGAUCAAAAUCAAGUCCUGAAUAUUUCAGUUUCAGUGUUCUGUCAUGCAGGAUAUAUGUCAACUCUUCUUCUCGUGAGUGAGCUGUUCUGUACUGUUUUGCAAAAAUACGUGAUUUUGUUGUUUCAGGGUAGCUCUUUACAGCAAAGAAAUUAUUAAAUUCUUACUCCUUUGUUAACAAAAAGUAAGAAUACUAAAAGCUGUGCUUUACAACCUAUAUCUGUGGAUUAAUCCACUUGAAGUGCAAAGAACUCACACUUUUUAGCUUAUCAAUAAUAUUAUUUUCAAUAUCAGGUGACAUAUUAGUAAUUCUACUACCUAUGGUGUUGUCAAUUUCCCACUGUGCUUCUUUUCCCAAGAUUAUCUUCACUACUGCUCAACAGGCAGGUAAAAUCAGGGAUUCAGCAAUAAUCCAAAACAUACAUACCUCCGCUGACACUAAUAGCUAUUUCUCGAUUUUCAUCUUUACCGUCUAACGUUGUGUUUGCUUGCUCCAGUCUUUACAUACCCCCUCCACUGCCCUUGGCAAUAUCUAAUUUGCAAAACUUUACCCUGGCCCUCACACCCCCUCUGUGCAGGUACUGUAUAUAAGCAUUGUAUGCAGACAAUAAAAUCACUUUUUCUCAAUAAAGCGCGAGCAUUCAGACUAACAUUUUGUGAUUUACAUUUUCUUAGUUUCUGCUUUUUUAAUAAUUGGGAUUUCUUUGUUUUGUUAUCCAGAGAUAUAUUUCAUUGAAUUUGUUUUUUUCCUACAAAUAUGUUACAAAAAGAAAUUGGAUAUGAAUACCCAUGUAACAGUUUCAAGUAAAGAGGCUACUCAGAUUUGAGAUGAGAUUGAGUCCUUCAUGUGGCCUAGGUGUAUUUCUUUGGAAGGUACUGAUUUGAAUUUUCAUUCUUAAUUGGGAUAUUCUGGGGAGAAUUUAAACUCCCUGUUUCCUGCUCCUUCUUUCAUUAGAGCUUCCUCUCCUGAGGACUCAUCUGAUCAGUCACCUUCUGCCCCUUUUUCUUUGUGAAGUUUUGGAGAUACAACCAGUUGCUUUUGAGUCUACCCCUGCUUUGUUGUCCAAUCGUUCUCAAAGGGAUUAUUUAGUUUUCCUCCUUCUCCUGAUAUUGCUGUGCAUGCAGGAAGGUUUGCAACACAAUUAUGUGAAGGUGUUGCUAUGCCUUCCCUCCCUCGUUUAUCGGAACAACAUGCCCUGUCGUAUCAUCAUCAGGAUGAUAUAUAUUUGGACACUCAAAGGUUGAAUCCGAUGUUGGAUCUAUGGGGGGUGCCAAGUAUGAACCUGUUAUCUCUCUUAACAGGUCACAGUUUUCAUGGAUUCGUUUGACUCUUACUACUGUUUUAAGAUACUUUUCUUCCCUUCAACUUUUGUCUGAGGCCUAUCACCAAUUGCCUCAACAUAUUGAUGAUGAACUGGGCCAUUUACUGGUCACUGUUAUGACAUAUUUGUCCUCUUCAGGACUUGCCUUGGUGUUGUUGUUGGUCUGUUGCUGGGACUUGUUGAGUCAUGAUGCAUUUUUGGAGGGUAUUCACUUACCUUAUGCUUUUUGAGAUUUCUGGGAAGGACCUUUUCUUCGGCCUUAUUUAUUUGCUGGAAUUCCAGAAUCUUUAGAAGCCAGAGUUAAUAUAGCAUGUUUGCAGUCUUCUUUAUCGUCUUUGGCUGCUCAACCCUAUUCUACUUCCAUUUGUACUUCUGCAUGUUCAUAUCCUCAUGUCUCAAGGUCCCCUCCUUCCACUCCUCCUUCAUUGGUUCUCUUAAUCAUUUCUGUCCUUAUUCUCGGGAGAUAUUUUGCGGGCCAGUAUGUGGACUUGACCCGACACGUUCAUAUCUCAUUAUCUUCAAGAUCUGACAGUUUCCUCUUCGAAGGGACUUCAUCUUUCCCCCGUGGCUGUGUUGACUACUAGAUUUAACAGGUUGGUGAGUAAUGUGUUAUCUGACUUACAGUUAUUAUUCCUUUCUCUUCUAGGGUCCCUAUUGGUUUUUUUUUUUUUUGCUCAGUCGGGUAUGCUUGUAUUUAAGUUCUGCACAAGCAACUUUUAUAUCGGUUCCUGGUUGCAAUGAGCUCUGUCGAGAUGAGAUGUUCCAUAAGACCAUAUGGAUGCAAUUCUGGAUGGUGGUAUUAUAUUACAAUGUUUUUGAUGGACUGCUACUCAUGGACUAUUAUGAGUAAAGCAAAGGGGAUUUUGCCAAUCCCUGCUGAUCUUAGAGCUGAAUCAGUCGAGAUCAGUUUGCUUUUAAAAAUUAGGGAACGUGGUUCACCUGUUGUACUGUCUCUGGAGACCUGUUCCUCAGGACUCCCCAGUGCUUAUGUUCCCCCCUUACAUCUACUAGUGGAGCUCGGGAGUCCUUACCAGACUCAGUUCCUAGUUGCUGGGGUGUUGGACAAAGAAUUUGUGUUUGGAGUGUUGAGUUUUCUUCACUCUUGGAGAAGAGGCAGAAUUCUUCUUGCCCACUUGGUGGGGGAGUAAAGACAACUGUUUGUAAAUCCAGACUGGAUGAGUUCUGGACUUUGGUGGAAUAUGGCAUAUGAUCCCAUCAAUCCAGACCUGGGAUGUUGCCUUUUGGACUUCUUUAGGUUGAUCAGAAGGGUUGUCCACUUUGUUUUUGCUUUCUUUCUUUCAUAAAUUCGGUAGUUUGAAACACAUCAUUCUGUAGUUAUUAGUGUCAGUGGAGGUAUGUAUGUUUUGGAAGUUAUCAUUUUCCUAAACUGAAAAUGUAUUUCCAAACAUACUUACCUCUGCUGUAUUAAUAUAUGGGCUUUCAUUUCUUUAGCAGUGAGAUCAGCCACAAGAUAACUUGCCUCUUGAGCUUUAUCACUUUGUCUUUUCAGAUGCUGAGGCUUGGUUUUUUUCCUAGCUCAGAAGUCUCAUAAAAUAUUCCUCAUUUUUGCGGGCUAAGUGUCCAUGUUUACUUGAAAAGUGCCAUUGUAACUUGGAUGGUGCCAUGGCAGUGUUUGCCAGCCUUUCUCCACAAUGAAUACACAGUGGUAGAGGGCACUAAAUAGAUAGCUCCCAAUAUAUUAGUGAACUUUGCAUUGUUGUAAGGUUGUGCUGCUAGUACUUGAUUUUACUGAAUUUUCUUGACUUUCAAAAUGUGCCACUUCUUCAAUUUGAUUGAUUGAUUGAGGUUUCUUACUAAGAAACUUAUUCAUUUCUUUUAAGCUACUUUGCAGAAAAAAUCUGUUAUAAUAUUUUUUAAACCAAUACUUUAUUUAUUUAGGAUAACAGACCAAAAAUGCACAGCAUAAAAUAAUAAUAAACCCUAAAAACAACACUAGGACAGUAAAAUUGGGUAUAGCUAGCUCAAAAACAGGUGUUGACCUCAAUUAAAUAGGUAUCACAUUAGAGCUUUUCUUUAAAUUUUGCUACAUAUUAUGGUCAAUCAUGACUUCAGGUCCUGAAAUGCCAUUGGUCAAGAAAAUGACACAUCGUGUACUAAAAAUGACUAAUCUACAUAUAUGAAAAUAUUCCACUAAGAGUGGUUGUGAAUUUGGGACAACAAAGGAACUGCAUCAACUGCAAGUAGGUUUGUGACAGGAAAACACUGGAACCUCAUUUAGAAGUUGGAUUUACAUCCCCAUAAGAAUGAGAAGCUCACUUUAAUAGUUAGGAUAAAAAAACAUCUGCUAGUUACAGAAUUUGUGGAACCCCAGUUGAAAAAUACUACAUUAGAGUGUUUCUUGUUCCUGCUUUGUGAUGGUAGUUAUUUGUGAGGGUUGUUAGUCUAUCAUUGAUUGGGGACAGACUGCAUAUUUUAUGUAUGUACUUAAUGGGAAUAAACCUUGGGGCUAAUCUUAGAAUUCUGUUUUGCUGUAAUUGAAGUAUGUUACAAAUGCUUUGGGGCAUGUUGAAAGUGACUUGGCAACCAUAUUCAAUUACUGAGCAGGUAUAUGCUUUGUAAAUUUUCAAAUUGUUGGGGGGUUUAUAACCUUUGUUUUUUCCUGCUAUGAGUGUCAGAAAAGUAAUUUGUUUACUGGUGGAUUUAUUUAUGUUUUUGAAAUGUUAAAUCCCAGUGAGGUGGGUGUCACAAGUAAUACCAAGAAACUUGGUGCAGAAGCAUAUUUUUUUACCUGAUUUUAGUAUUUUUUAAUAUUUUGAACUGUUUGUUUAAACUGGAAUGAAAGAUAACACUCUGAGUUUUAAAUGGGUUAAGUAGUACUCACCAGUCAUUUCACCAGCUGAUGAUUACAUCUAGAGAUUUUUAAACUCUGUCAGUAGCUGUUUGCUAAGUACUCAAUACGCUCCAAACAGCAAUAUCAUCAGCAUAUUGUGAGAAAUAUGUGUUAGGUCAGGAAACAGUAUGUUGUUCACAAACAGAAUAUAGAGGAGUGGGGAAAUGACUGAGCCUUGCAGAACUCCUGCUGAGAUGUUGAAUGAUUUUAACAAAGUAUUAUUUAUUUUUGCUACAGUUGAUCAGUUUGGUAGAAAAUUUGAGAUCCAUCUGAUUAUUAUAUUGUUUACUUUCAUAUCAUGAAGGUGGUAUCUGAUGGCAUUUUGCCAGCUGGUAUCAAAGGCUUUUUUGACAUCUAUGAAUACAGCUAAGGUUACUUGGUUAUCGAUAAAGGACUUAUAGACUGAUUCUGUGAGUCUAGAUAGGUGAUCUAUGGUUUAUCUUCCUUUGUUGGAAAAGUUUUGGAUGUUUUUUGAUAGCUACGAAUACAGCUAAGGUUACUUGGUUAUUAUCAAAGGACUUAUAGACUGAUUCUGUGAGUCUAGAUAGGUGAUCUAUGGUUUAUCUUCCUUUGUUGGAAAAGUUUUGGAUGUUUUUUGAUAGCUACGAUUACAGCUAAGGUUACUUAGUUAUUAUUAAAGGACUUGUAGACUGAUUCUGUGAGUCUGGAUAUGUGAUCUAUGGUUUGUCUUCCUUUGCAGGAAAAGUUUGGGAUGUUCGGAAGUAGGUUGUUGUUUUCAUUAAAAAGAAGUAAUCAGUUGGAUACUAUCCAUUCUAGGAGUUUGCUUAAGCAGCUUAGAAGAUUGAUUGUUCUGAAAUUUUUGGGGUUGGAGCUGUUUGAUGUGGUUUUAGGGAUGAUUAUAAUAGUGGCUUUUUUGCAUGAGUCAAGUUAACAUUCUGUUAAUAGUGAUAAGUUUAUAAUGUUGAAUAAGUACAUUAGUAGUUUAUCUGAUGCAUUUUUGAGAAUUAUGUAUUAUGUAUGUGGUUUUAGGGAUGAUUAUAAUAGUGGCUUUUUUGCAUGAGUCAAGUUAACAUUCUGUUAAUUGUGAUAAGUUUAUAAUGUUGAAUAAGUACAUUAGUAGUUUAUCUGAUGCAUUUUUGAGAAUUAUGUAUUAAAUAUCGUCAUGUCCAAGGAAUGAGUUUUAAGAGAUUUUAUUUUAAUUUUUAGGUUACUUUUGGUGAUUUUUUCUUUUAGACAUGUCAGUGUUAUUGAUGAAUAUAGUUUCAUUGAUAUUAGUAGCUGGAAAUUGUGGAAUGUAUAACUCCAGCCUUGUAGAGGUGUGAUUGUCAACCUUUUGUUUGAGAGGUUGACUAAAGGAAGGAGAGUUGGUGUCUGAGAAGGAAUUUGAAUAGUAGUCAGCGAGUAGGUUGGCUUUGUCAAUGUCAGUCUUGGUAACUGCUCAAUGUGAUGAAACAAAUUAUUAUUUUCAUCAGAUGAAAGUGAUCUGAAAUUUUUACAGAAUUCUUUUGAUUGAUUGUGUUUAUUUCCUAAUAAGUUAUGAAAAUGUGGCCAGUUGUCAAUUUUUAAGACUUCGAUCUUUCUUUUCAUUAGCACAUGCAGCCAAUUGAUUUGAAGUUUGAGUGCAGUGUCAUGAGUUGUCAUAAAUAAUCUUCUAAAUCACCUUUGUUCAAGUGUUAGAUGGUGUAUUUCAGGAGUAAACAUCCAGUUGUGAAGUGCAGAACCUUUACAGGUGAAAGGGAUUAUUGUCUGUGUAGUCUUGGAAAUGACUUUAGUAAUAUCAUUUACAUAAGCAUCUAGGUCAUCUUUACAGGAAGCAGUGUUGGCUGGAUUGAGUAAGUGUGUUGAAACUUUUCCGGUCAGUCUUGGUGUAGUUAUUUACUGGUGGUAGUUUGGUUAAUCCAGAUGUUUUGUUUGUUGAUUUGUUUUGUAAAGGAAAUUGGUUGCUAGACACUGCAGGGUGUACUAAGAAGUUCUAGAACAUAGUUAAAAGUGUAGUGGUGAUUAUCAUUAUAAUGGAUCAGUGUGUUGUCAUUUAUGGCAUGCAUGUUGUUGCUUUCAAGAAGCAAGUAAAGAGCUAAUCCUCUAGAGUUAGUACAAAGGCUGUGAAAGUUAGUGUGGGGAGACAUUAAAGUUUCCCACAAUAAAUGGUAUGGGCUGUCUAUUCAAACAGAUUUGCAAAUACCUAAUGUCAAGUGGUUUACUUGGAGACAGUGGUGGACUGGGUCUAAAAUUUCUACUGGGAAAACUUGUAAAAGGGCCCACUUAAUCCCAAAACGUAGUCAAAGGAAUCAAAUAAAAGUAAAGGUUUUAAGCAAAUAAAAUGUUACAUAUAUUCAAUAUUGUUGUAUUUAUUUAUGUUAAUGUGUGCCUAAUACAAAUACUAGAAAAUUUUAAUAAUCUUAUAAUAAAAAGAAAAUCUCAAUCAUAGAACAACCAAUCCGAGUAAUUUACAAACCAUAAUUUGAAAUUGUUUUCAAAGUAUAAUUAAAAUUGGAACAUGUGCUUUUUUUAAUGUGUGCACAUAUCACUAAAACAGUCAAAAUUCUGUAAUUUACAAAGCACAAAUCACCCAGACAGCAAGCAAUCUAGAAAACUGUGUCAAUUUUUUCACAAGGAAAGGAAUAAUAUCAUCCACAGCAAUUUCAGAAAGUAAAUCUUUUUCGAUGCCCAUCAGCAUAAAAGUUUCAAGUAGCUCAUUUGAUAGCGAAGGUUUUUACAAUUUUCAACUUACUGAAUGUGCAUUCGCAACUGACUUGUGUGAACGACAGGGUCAAAAGAUGUUUGUAAGCUAAGAACAAAUUCGAGUAUGCAGAUGCGUGCAAAUACUUAAAUAGGAUACGGAAACAGUAAAGCAGGCACUUCCUACACGAUAUUCCAGAAGUGCAACGUGAACCUGAAAUUACAUCAAAGUGAGUUUGAAGUAUCUGUUCUGAUUCUAGGUGUCUGGUUGUUGCAAACUCUUCAUUAAAAUUUUUCGAAAGGCUGUUGAAGGUUAGGAUGAAAGACUGCAAUUCAUUGCUCAGUUCCUGCUUGCCCAAACCAAGACGAUUGCAUAUGUUUUUCAGUGCUUCUGGUGGCAAUCCAUCUUCUUUGAGUUCUUGGAAACGACGUGGAUCAAAACACGCUGUGUCAGUUACAAGUUCACGGUUGUUAGAAAAAUGUCCAAUAAUACUCGACGAAACACUUCCACCCUGUAGCGACCCACUGAAUCAUCACUUCUUUCAUCCGGGGAAUCAUCCCUCUGGAGUUCACCAGGCAUUCAUCUCUUUUUUUUGAUGUUCUCAUCUUUUUGGAUUCCCCUUCUUUUGCAAAAUUAGUUUCUUCAUCAUCGUCAAACAUUUGAUUUGCUGCCUCAAUGAAAUUUCUGAGCACCAUUAUUUCCAGUGAUAGACCAUCACUUUGGGGCCCACCGGGAAAUUUCCCGGUAUCCCGGUGGGCCAGUCUGCCACUGCUUGGAAAAUAAUACAUGGCCAGGAAGGAAAUAGUUUGUAUAUUGUUAAUGUGUAGGUUGCAAAAGAUUCUGUCGUUGAUCUUUGAACUUAUUUCUGUGAAAUGCAAUGUGUCACACUUUGUUUGAAAAUAAUUGCAAUUCCUCUAUCAUCAUUGGUUACAGUUCUAGUGUAUGACUUAAAGCCAGGAAUGUUUAUAUUUGUGUCUUCUUUUACAAGAGUUUCAGCUGUGAUGAUUAUAUCAGCUUCGAUGUUGCUUUUUAAAACGAGAAUUUCGAUUUCAAGUUCAAUUAAUUUUGUCCAUUCGUAAUCUAUUAUAGAUAUUCUUUGAAUGUUUUAUUUCACUGUUUUUCUUUUCAUUUCAGAAAAAGUUAAAUGAAAAACUUCUGUAAUUCUCUGUAUAUUUAUUUUAAUGUUUUCAGUGUAAAAUCUAAAUGUUUAUGUAAUGUAUUGUGCAGUUAAGUAAUUGUAGUCCAAUGAGUUCUUGGUCCAGGAACAUUUUGUAAUUAUAUCAAUGUAUAAUAAACCUCAUUGCUUUUCUA